Long non-coding RNA from Cydia fagiglandana, 1301 nucleotides. RefSeq lists it as uncharacterized. The transcript is spliced from 2 exons. NCBI's taxonomy places the organism in Eukaryota, Metazoa, Arthropoda, Insecta, Lepidoptera, Tortricidae. The record is from RefSeq and is a predicted model, not a curated record.
UUGGAAUAAGCCAGUGCAUUUAGGUUUGAUUUACAGUUCUGGACUAGUUUUGAGUUUGACUCGAGAGAUUCUAGUGCCAGCAGAGCAGCCUGGCUGUCUGAGUUGAUGUAGAUAUGCUGGUGUCUUAGGUUUCUAUCCAGGUUGAUCUCCGCACAUUUGUUGAUGGCGAAGACUUCUGCCUGGAAGAUUGAGGCCUGUGUGCCCAUGCUGACACUAGCUCUGAACUUAGGUCUCUCACCAUAGAUCCCACAUCCUACAUCAUUGCCUUUCUUGGAACCAUCCGUAUACCAAAUAAGGCUUCCCUCUUCGACGAACAUUUGGUCGUUAGUCCAUUUGUCUCUAGGAGGUAUUUCUACUGUGUACAGUUUAGUAAAGUGACAUUGAGUGUGCGUGUCAUCUGUGGGCAUGCUAAGGGUUCUAUUUGCAAAAACCCAGGCCUUUAGUUUGGUUAAUGCUUGAGAGCGCCAUUUUGGCCUGUUUAGCGUGCAGAUUCUGUAGACGCACUGCUUGGCCUCCUUUUGCACCUGCAAGUGGAGUGGUAUAAUAUCCAGCAGUGCAUCUAGGGCCGCUCCCGGUGUCGAGGAGAAGGCGCCUGUUGCUGUUAAACAAGCCGUGCCGUAGGUUAUAAUUGGCCUCACUACAGCUGUGUAUAACCACAUAGCAAUUUUGGGUCUUAUGCCCCAUCUUGCUCCUGCCAUGCGACAGCAUGACCACAUGGCCAUUUUUGCUUUUUGUGUGAUGUUCCUCAGGUGAGGGUUCCAAGUUAACUUUUGGUCGAAGGUGACCCCCAGGUACUUGACCUCGUCUGAGAAUGAUAUUAUUUGUCCAUUAAGUCUUGGUUCUGUGAGCUUUUCGAGCUUGCGUUUUCGUGUGAAUGGUACUAUCACGGUCUUGCUCGGAUUAAUGGACAAGUCAUUUUCUCGACACCAUUUGAAUAUGGUGUUUAGAGCUCCUUGCAUUAGGUUGGAUAUCGUGUGGAGGCAUGGGCCUUUGAUGAUGACUACAAGGUCGUCGGCAUAUCCUUGUGUGUCAUAGUCUUGGCCUGACAUAAUUGCAAGAAGUUGGUCCACUGCUAGGGUCCUUAAGAGUGGGGAUAGAACGCCUCCUUGUGGGCACCCUUUUGUGGUAUAAAAUUCAUGCUCUACAGUAUUGAGGGUUAGAGUGGCUACUCUAUUCGAGAGCAUGCUAUGUACCCAUCUGGUGGUGGUUUCGUCUACUCCCUUUGAUUUCAUACCAUUGAGUAUGGUCUCUGUGGGCGUAUUGUCGAAAGCACCCUCGACAUCAAGGAACGCACAUAGAGC